ACAUCCUACGUGCGUACUUCACACUACUCUCAUAAUUAUACCUACAACCAUCUCUUACAUCCAUGAUGGAGGAGUUGGCUGGGAAGAAGUUGACUGGAGAGGGAUUGAAGAAGUUGAUUGGAGAGGGGUUGAAGAAGUUGACUGAAGAGUCAAUGAAGAAGGUUGUGAAAGCUUCAGCAGUGAAGGCAGUGGAAUAUGAAAAAUAUGAGCCUCAUGAUAUAAAGAUGUGAGAGAAGAUCAUGGAGGGAGAGAUCUUUCUUCAGUGAGUGUGUUGAUGAGUGAAGAAGUUGAUGAAGAAGAGCAGAGAGAAGAAAGCAAAUGUUCUGUGAGAGAGACAUUUGCCAGUAUCUUUGCAUCCAAAAUGAGAUCUGAUGCUUAACAAGUACCAGAGGCAGUAUAAGAAGAGGGUGACAGAGAAGAAAUGAGAGGAA
RNAcentral lists this small RNA (431 nucleotides) under Histoplasma ohiense. Its description in RNAcentral is "hypothetical lncRNA". Lineage: Eukaryota; Fungi; Ascomycota; Eurotiomycetes; Onygenales; Ajellomycetaceae. The record is from RNAcentral.